CCAUGGCAAGCAACAUGAAGGUUGACUUUGAGAAGUUUGAUGAGAAAGAAAACUUUUUUAUGUGAAAAUUUGGAUUGAAGAUCUCUUGAUUCAGGCAGAUCUAGAUCAGGCAUUAGAGGAGAAACCUGAAGAGAUGUCAGAUCGUCAAUGGAUAUCCCUGGAGAAAAAGACUUGUUCGGUGAUUAGAUGAUGUUUGACAGAUGCGGCUCUCUAUUCGGUGUUAGAAGAGAAGAAUCCAAAGGGUUUGUGACCGAAGUUACACACCAUGUAUAUGGAG
This 277-nucleotide long non-coding RNA is filed under the name Elaeis guineensis (African oil palm). RNAcentral describes it as "long non-coding RNA (EGUI_LNC032911)". Lineage: Eukaryota; Viridiplantae; Streptophyta; Magnoliopsida; Arecales; Arecaceae. The record is from RNAcentral.